GAGUUUGAUCGUGGCUCAGGAUGAACGCUGGCGGCGUGCCUAACACAUGCAAGUCGAACGGAGUUUAUGAGGAAGAAGCUUCGGCGGAAUUCUUAUAAACUUAGUGGCGGACGGGUGAGUAACACGUGGAGAACCUGCCUCUUACCGGGGGACAGCAGUUGGAAACGACUGAUAAUACCGCAUAAGCGUACGAGACCGCAUGGUCCUGUGUGAAAAGAUUUAUCGGUAAGAGAUGGCUCCGCGUCUGAUUAGCCAGUUGGCGGGGUAACGGCCCACCAAAGCGACGAUCAGUAGCCGGCCUGAGAGGGUGAACGGCCACAUUGGGACUGAGACACGGCCCAGACUCCUACGGGAGGCGAGCAGUGGGGGAUAUUGCACAAU
This 381-nucleotide ribosomal RNA is filed under the name uncultured microorganism. RNAcentral describes it as "bacterial SSU rRNA". It matches the Rfam family "Bacterial small subunit ribosomal RNA", at positions 9 to 372 of the family's 1533-position model. The record is from RNAcentral.